Molecule: ribosomal RNA, 767 nt
Filed under: uncultured Desulfosporosinus sp.
Lineage: Bacteria; Bacillati; Bacillota; Clostridia; Eubacteriales; Desulfitobacteriaceae
Description: bacterial SSU rRNA
Rfam family: Bacterial small subunit ribosomal RNA
Source: RNAcentral
GACGAACGCUGGCGGCGUGCCUAACACAUGCAAGUCGAACGGUCUACUCGUGGUUCGAUAUUCGUGGUUCGUGGUUCGAUUAAAGAAAAGAUUUGGGGCAUAAAAGGCCAACAAGACUACUAAAUUCGAACAUCGGAUAUCGAAUAUCGAACUACGAUGGAUAGUGGCGGACGGGUGAGUAACGCGUGGGUAACCUACCCAUAAACCCGGGACAACCCUUGGAAACGAGGGCUAAUACCGGAUAAGCUUACGAAGUGGCAUCACUUAGUAAGAAAAGGUGGCCUCUGAAAAUGCUACCGAUUAUGGAUGGACCCGCGUCUGAUUAGCUAGUUGGUGGGGUAAAGGCYUACCAAGGCGACGAUCAGUAGCCGGCYUGAGAGGGUGAACGGCCACACUGGGACUGAGACACGGCCCAGACUCYUACGGGAGGCAGCAGUGGGGAAUCUUCCGCAAUGGACGAAAGUCUGACGGAGCAACGCCGCGUGUAUGAUGAAGGUCUUCGGAUUGUAAAGUACUGUCUUUGGGGAAGAAUGAUUGGUUUGAAAAUAUUGAGCCAAUAUGACGGUACCCCAAGGAGGAAGCCCCGGCUAACUACGUGCCAGCAGCCGCGGUAAUACGUAGGGGGCAAGCGUUGUCCGGAAUUAUUGGGCGUAAAGGGCGCGUACGCGGAUGUUUAAGUCCGGUGUGAAAGAUCAGGGGCUCACCCCUGAGGAGUGCAUUCGGAAAACCUGGGGCAUCUUGAAGGACCAGGAAGAAGGAAAAGUUGG